AUACUUACCUGGUAGGGGAGAUACCAUGAUCACGAAGGUGGUUUUCCCAGAGUGAGGCUUAUCCAUUGCCCUCCGGAUGUGCUGACCCCUGCGACUUCCCCAAAUGUGGGAAACUCGACUGCAUAAUUUGUGGUAGUGGGGGACUGUGUUCACGCUUUUCCCCG
Chlorocebus sabaeus (green monkey) is the source of this 164-nucleotide small nuclear RNA. Its record names the gene U1. It matches the Rfam family "U1 spliceosomal RNA". Rfam says of the family: U1 is a small nuclear RNA (snRNA) component of the spliceosome (involved in pre-mRNA splicing). Its 5' end forms complementary base pairs with the 5' splice junction, thus defining the 5' donor site of an intron. The record is from Ensembl. Lineage: Eukaryota; Metazoa; Chordata; Mammalia; Primates; Cercopithecidae.